GCUGGCGUGGCACAGAUGGUAGCGCAACUGAUUCGUAAUCAGUAGGCCGGGGGUUCGAUUCCCCCCGCUAGCUCCA
Molecule: transfer RNA, 76 nt
Filed under: Acetobacterium wieringae
Lineage: Bacteria; Bacillati; Bacillota; Clostridia; Eubacteriales; Eubacteriaceae
Also listed under: 1 other name
Description: tRNA-Thr
Rfam family: tRNA
About the family: Transfer RNA (tRNA) molecules are approximately 80 nucleotides in length. Their secondary structure includes four short double-helical elements and three loops (D, anti-codon, and T loops).
Source: RNAcentral